Molecule: non-coding RNA, 27 nt
Filed under: Homo sapiens (human)
Lineage: Eukaryota; Metazoa; Chordata; Mammalia; Primates; Hominidae
Source: RNAcentral
UGAAGAGGAGCGAAAUAUCCAGUGGGA